GAUGAACGCUGGCGGCGUGCCUAACACAUGCAAGUCGAACGGCCAGACGAGUACUUUGCUCUGCUGACGUGUGGCGCACGGGUGAGUAAUACAUGUGGAUAACUCCCCUAUAUGAGGGGAACCACUCGGAAGCAGGGGUACUACCGCAUACGAAUUUCUUGAACAAGCGGGUGCACUACGGACCUCCGGCUUUACGGUCGGUCGUUGGUGGAUCGGCGCGGUAUUGGCUUGUUGGUAGGGUAACGGCUUACCAAGGCGACGAUGCGUAGCCGAUCUGAGAGGACGACCGGCCACACUGGAACUGAGACACGGUCCAGACUCCUACGGGAGGCAGCAGUGGGGAAUCUUGGGCAAUGGGCGAAAGCUUGACGCAGCAAUGCCGCGUGUGUGAAGAAGGCCUUCGGAUCGUAAAGCUCUUUUGUCCGGGAAGAACAACUUUGUACUAAUACAGGCGGGGGUUGACGGUACCGGAUGAAAAAGCACCGGCUAACUACGUG
Molecule: ribosomal RNA, 497 nt
Filed under: uncultured bacterium
Lineage: Bacteria
Description: partial 16S ribosomal RNA
Rfam family: Bacterial small subunit ribosomal RNA
Source: RNAcentral